This 3753-nucleotide small RNA is filed under the name Pongo abelii (Sumatran orangutan). Its description in RNAcentral is "retained intron". The record is from RNAcentral. Lineage: Eukaryota; Metazoa; Chordata; Mammalia; Primates; Hominidae.
CUCCUCCCUCAGAUCGUGAGGCUCCCCAGCCUGGCUCGGGAGACCCCGAGAUCCCCUGCUCCUGUCCACCUCUGACAGGCGACCCCCUGCUCCUGUCCACCUCUCGACUCCGCGCUCUCCUCGCCGGCCGCCGCCGCCCAGCCUGCGCCCGCCGUCCCCCUAGUGCCUGGGCACCUGUUGGAGGCAGAGCCAGGGGUGCUGCAUGAGGGGCCGCAGGGGCGAUCGCAUGACCAUCAACAUCCAGGAGCACAUGGCCAUCAACGUGUGCCCCGGGCCCAUCCGGCCCAUCCGCCAGAUCUCUGACUACUUCCCCCGCCGGGGACCAGGACCUGAAGGGGGCAGCGGGGAGGCCCCCACCCAUCUGGUCCCCCUGGCUCUGGCCCCCCCUGCAGCCCUCCUUGGGGCCACCACGCCUGAGGAUGGUGCGGAGGUGGACAGCUAUGACUCGGAUGAUGCCACCGCCCUGGGCACGCUGGAGUUUGACCUUCUCUACGACCGGGCCUCCUGCACUCUGCACUGUAGCAUCCUCAGGGCCAAGGGCCUCAAGCCCAUGGAUUUUAAUGGCCUCGCCGACCCCUAUGUCAAGCUGCACUUGCUGCCUGGAGCCUGUAAGGCCAAUAAGCUAAAAACGAAGACUCAGAGGAACACACUGAAUCCCGUGUGGAAUGAGGACCUGACGUACAGCGGGAUCACGGAUGAUGACAUCACGCACAAGGUGCUCAGGUGAGGGCCCCCCUCCACACCACCCAGCAGCAGCUCGGGGACAGCUGACACUGUAACCGCUGGUUGUUUGAUCUAUGUCCCAUUAAGCCCGUACCUCUCUGAUGUUCAAGAACCAUCAGCGGCUCCCUAGCCCCUUUGGCAGCAGGCCAAAAUACUUCCCUGCCACUCCUGCCCCCCAAUAUCUCCUGCCUGCCAGGUGUGGUGGCUCACACCUGUAAUCCCAGCACUUUGGCAGGCCGAGGUGGGCGGAUCACUUGAGGUCAGGAGUUCGAGACCAGCCUGGCCAACUUGGUGAAACCCUGUCUCUACUAAAAAUACAAAAAUUAGCCGGGCGUGGUGGCAUGUACCUGUAAAUCCCAGCUACUUGGGAGGCUGAGGCAGGAGGAUCGCUUGAACCCGGGAGGCAGAGGUUGCAGUGAGCCAAGAUCGCACCACUGCACUCCAGCCUGGGUGAUAGAGGAAGACUCCAUCUCAAAAACAAAACAAAGUAUCCUCUGCCCCUCAAACAGAGGACUCCCUUCUUCCAACUGGCCAGUUCCACAACUCCUGAACUUUUCCUGUUGUUUUCUAUCUGGAAAGCUCCUUCCUGCCAGCCUAAAUUCCACUCAUCUGAGGUUCAGUCCAAGCUCUGCCCCCUCCCAAAAACGUUCCCGGGUUGCCGAGACCCCUUCUCAGAGCCCUUGGCUUAAGUCAGACCUCUGCAGCUUUGGUCUGCCCCUUCCGUGCCUUGAGUUCCCCUAAAAUCUCUUAAGGAGUGAAGUCUUCAGGGACAGGGAACUUGCUCUGUCAUCCCAGGAGAUGGAGAUGUGGGGAGAGUACUCCCUCAAGUCAGGUGGCGGGCAGCAAAACCCAGGCUCUGGAGAGACCUCUGCCUUUGUGCUUGGAUUUGCAGCUGGGACCUUCCCUAAUGGUCAGGGCUGUGCGGCAGAGACCACCUUGGUGUCGGCUGUGCGGGUGGAAUGGAGGGGAGGCCAGAGGCCAAAACCAGAAUGAGACCAAAAAAUGAGCGCUCACCAGGGCCCAGCCCAGGCUUAGCAUUUUCACAUUUCUUUCUUUCCCUUGACUAUCUCCAUUUACAGAUGGGAAAUGAGGCGUAGGGUGAUCAAGUGACUUGCCCAAGGUCACACAGGUGGCUCAGAAGUGGCAGGGCUGGGAUCUGCCCAUCCUCCAUGCCACAGAUGCCCAACCUGGUAGUGGGUCACUGCAGAGGCAGGGCAGGGGCUGCAGGAGGACAGGUGGCUGGAAAGCAAUCAUUUCUUAGUGAGUCCCUGCGGGGCUGGCUGUCUGCUGCACACAGGAAAAGGACGGGGGUUCCCGAGGAGGCGUGGGGUGCUCGUCUGGCUGCCCAAGGCUCCAAGGCCCUUCUAGCUCUCACGGCCUGUGUCUAUGGCCACAUCCACCAUGGUGUUCGGCUCCUGCCCCCAGGCCCUGAAUGGAGGCAGUGAGCGGCGUGCUCCAAGAUUUCUGAGGGCUUCCCACAAUGGCUGAGCACGUCCUGAUGGACCAGGGACAGCCGGGUGGCUGCAGAGGGAGGGAGAGAGGAAUGGGCAAAUCUGCUUGUCCUUCUCAAGUGCCAGCCUGUCUUCCAGAUGAGAUGUAGUGUUUAGGGCAGAACUGGGCUGGUCCAAGGCCCUUCCUACACCCCGGAACGGGGCUCAGGUACCCCAGGGGCCCUGACACUGCAGUUCCCCACCAGGAUCGCCGUCUGUGAUGAGGACAAGCUGAGUCACAAUGAGUUUAUUGGGGAGAUCCGCGUGCCCCUCCGCCGCCUCAAGCCUUCGCAGAAGAAGCAUUUUAACAUCUGCCUCGAGCGCCAGGUCCCGGUCUGUGUGGGGGCUGCAGGGGCGCCAGGGGAGGGGGCCCUGGGGAGGCCAGGCUUCCAGAACCUUCUCUUUGCCCCCUCAGCUGGCGUCCCCCUCUUCCAUGUCAGCGGCGCUGAGGGGCAUCUCCUGUUACCUAAAGGAGUUGGAGCAGGCGGAGCAGGGGCAGGGGCUGCUGGAGGAGCGUGGCCGCAUCCUGCUGAGUCUCAGCUACAGCUCACGGCGCCGGGGACUGCUGGUAGGCAUCUUGCGCUGUGCCCAUCUGGCUGCCAUGGACGUCAACGGUUACUCGGACCCCUACGUCAAGACGUACCUGAGGCCCGAUGUGGACAAGAAAUCCAAGCAUAAGACGUGCGUGAAGAAGAAGACUCUCAACCCAGAAUUUAACGAGGUGGCGUGUCCCUGGGGCCAGGUGCCCGAGGCGAGGCUCGGAAGCACUGGAGUGACUGCCUGCAGCAGCCAGAUGCAGCCCUGGAGCGCUGGCACACCCUGACCAGCGAGCUGCCCCCUGCAGCUGGGGCUCUGUCCUCAGCCUGAGUGGACAGCAGUGUCCCAGCACAGGCCCAUCGAGCCGGGUCCAGUACCCAACCUUCGCACGAGUGUGUUGCACGUUUACACGGGGUGGGCUGCCCCCACCCUGCACUACCUGUCUUAUUUUUGUGAGUCUCCGUGACCCGGGUCUGUCUGCUCAUGAGGGGCUGUGGAGUUCUAUGUUCACAUAUGCAAACCUCCUGCCUGACUCGCUAGUCCCUGCAAAUAUGCAAACCCCCCAUCAUGUGCACACCCGGGCAGUGCUCAGAGCCUGGCCCCAGGCCCCCGCGCUCCUCACUCCUGCCUCUCCACGCUGCCCCGUCCCUCUCCCCCGACAGGGAGGAGGUCGGAUUAGGGGAGGUUCAGAGGAGAAUGUCUCAAAAACAAAAAGACAAAAAACAAACCCAGAGCCACUCCUUUAAUACAGAAACGUCAUUGAAAAAACCUAGCCCUGUACAGCUGCCCUUUUAAAGAGGUGGCCAUCGCAGGGUCUCUGCCUCCCCAGCAGGUGGCAGAUGCUCCCGGCCACUCGUUUAAAUAACUGUCCCCUGGAGGGGGCCGGGGUUUGAAGGCAGGGCCCCUGCCACCCUCCUGGGGGACACCCGUGCAUGUUUACGCCUUUUCUGGUUGUGUCAGUGGCCGGAGCAUGGCAGCUGGGCGUCAAUAAACACCUCCGAGG